GCAUGCUGGUGGGGAUUCUCUUAUCCGGGAGAACGGAGAACUGGCUGCCACUCGCUUAUUCAUAGCAAAUGGAAUUCUUGGGCCGGCACAUUGCCCGGAAACUCAACAUCAACUACUUUGACUACCUGGCUUCCUCCUAUCGUCAUGUGGUCCGCCACUGGCCACUGGGGGCCACCUUUAGCCCUGGUAUUGUGCAUCGAAAAACACAAGUCUACACUAAGUCAAGUGUCAGCGAACUGGAUGUGUAACCCCUGGGGCCUGAACCCUGGCCUCCUUUUGCAUACCCUACCUCCCUUAUCCCCAUCCUGGAGGGACUGACACCCAGCCCCACCUACUGCCCUUCCUCUAACUAAAGCUGCUUUAGCCUCCAAC
This 372-nucleotide long non-coding RNA is filed under the name Rattus norvegicus (Norway rat). RNAcentral's name for it is "long non-coding RNA NONRATT027061". The record is from RNAcentral. Lineage: Eukaryota; Metazoa; Chordata; Mammalia; Rodentia; Muridae.